RNAcentral lists this small nuclear RNA (142 nucleotides) under Nothoprocta perdicaria. RNAcentral's name for it is "U1 spliceosomal RNA (ENSNPEG00000003681.1)". It matches the Rfam family "U1 spliceosomal RNA". From Rfam's summary of the family: U1 is a small nuclear RNA (snRNA) component of the spliceosome (involved in pre-mRNA splicing). Its 5' end forms complementary base pairs with the 5' splice junction, thus defining the 5' donor site of an intron. Lineage: Eukaryota; Metazoa; Chordata; Aves; Tinamiformes; Tinamidae. The record is from RNAcentral.
ACACUUCUCUAGCAGGGGAAAUGCUAUGAUCAGCAGGAAGAUUUUCCAUGUGUGAGGUUCAGCCCUUGCAGUCAGGGUUUAUUGACUCCUAUGAUUUACCCCAAGUGUGAAAAAUGUGACUCCAGGAUUUGUGGAAGUACUC